ACCGAAUUCUGAACAUGAGCUCAAGCUAAUCAGUGUUCAGAGGAAUCAGAGUGGAAACUACAGCUGUCGGGCCUUUAACAGUAAAACCUCAAUAAAGCAAACAUCUCAACUUGCAUAUAUCUCUAUAGUGGAAAAACAACCAAGUCUCUCUGGAGGUGCCAUUGCUGGAAUAGUAAUAGCAUGUUUGUUAGUUGCUGCUGCAGGAGCUACUGGAGGCUUCUUCAUCUAUAAAAAAAUGAAAAAAGCUAGUCCACCAUCAGCCACAAAAGAACCAGAACAUGGGUAUGUUAACAUGCCGGGAAUAAAGGGUGAUAAGAAAGAAAAUCAUGUCUAUGAGAAUGUUGCUGGGAUUAAGACCAAUAAAGAAGAAGAACAUGAGUACGAGGAG
This is a long non-coding RNA of Cyprinodon variegatus (sheepshead minnow), 388 nucleotides long. RefSeq lists it as uncharacterized. NCBI's taxonomy places the organism in Eukaryota, Metazoa, Chordata, Actinopteri, Cyprinodontiformes, Cyprinodontidae. The transcript is spliced from 4 exons. The record is from RefSeq and is a predicted model, not a curated record.